CCCUUAGAUGUUCUGGGCUGCACGCGCGCUACACUGAUGCAUUCAACAAGUUUUGUCCUUGGCUGAUAGGCCUGGGUAAUCUUUGAACGUGAAUCGUGAUGGGGAUAGAUGAUUGCAAUUAUUCAUCUUCAACGAGGAAUUCCUAGUAAACGCAAGUCAUCAGCUUGCAUUGAUUACGUCCCUGCCCUUUGUACACACCGCCCGUCGCACCUACCGAUUGAAUGGUCCGGUGAAAUCUUCGGAUCUGAGAGAUGUCUGAUUAAUUUCGGACGCCUUUUGGAAAAGUUGCUUAAACCUUACCAUUUAGAGGAAGGUGAAGUCGUAACA
This 327-nucleotide ribosomal RNA is filed under the name uncultured eukaryote. RNAcentral's name for it is "partial 18S ribosomal RNA". It matches the Rfam family "Eukaryotic small subunit ribosomal RNA", at positions 1470 to 1796 of the family's 1831-position model. The record is from RNAcentral.